GACGAACGCUGGCGGCGUGCUUAACACAUGCAAGUCGAACGGGUCUGCCCUGUUUUUUGCGGGGUGGGUCAGUGGCGAACGGGUGAGUAACACGUGAGUAACCUGCCCCUCACUUCUGGAUAACCGCUUGAAAGGGUGGCUAAUACGGGGUGUUCUGGCUGUGCCGCAUGGUGUGGCUGGGAAAGAUUCACUUUUGUGGUGUUUUGGUGGGGGAUGGGCUCGCGGCCUAUCAGCUUGUUGGUGGGGUGAUGGCCUGCCAAGGCUUUGACGGGUAGCCGGCCUGAGAGGGUGGGCGGGCACACUGGGACUGAGAUACGGCCCAGACUCCUGCGGGAGGCAGCAGUGGGGGGUAUUGCACAAUGGGCGGAAGCCUGAUGCAGCGGCGUCGCGUGAGGGAUGGAGGCCUUCGGGUUGUGAACCUCUUUCGCCGGUGAAGAAGGUCCUGCUCUUUGUGGUGGGGUUGACGGUAGCCGGGUUAUGAAGCGCCGGCUAACUACGU
RNAcentral lists this ribosomal RNA (499 nucleotides) under uncultured bacterium. RNAcentral's name for it is "partial 16S ribosomal RNA". It matches the Rfam family "Bacterial small subunit ribosomal RNA", at positions 28 to 506 of the family's 1533-position model. The record is from RNAcentral.